RNAcentral lists this ribosomal RNA (460 nucleotides) under uncultured bacterium. Its description in RNAcentral is "partial 16S ribosomal RNA". It matches the Rfam family "Bacterial small subunit ribosomal RNA", at positions 338 to 795 of the family's 1533-position model. The record is from RNAcentral.
CCUACGGGAGGCAGCAGUGAGGAAUAUUGGUCAAUGGGCGCAAGCCUGAACCAGCCAAGCCGCGUGAGGGAUGACGGUCCUAUGGAUUGUAAACCUCUUUUGUCGGGGAGAAAGGCACGCUACGUGUGGCGGGAAGGAGGGUACCCGCAGAAAAAGCAUCGGCAAACACAGGGCCAGCAGCCGCGGUAAUCCGGAGGAGGCGAGCGUUAUCCGGCUUUGUCGGGUUAAAAGGUUGCGUAGGAGGUAAGUUAGGUCAGCGGUAAAAGGUCUGUGCUCACCACGGGCCUGCCGUUGAAACUGGUCUUCUUGAGUGAGCGAGAAGUAUGCGGAAUGCGUGGUGUAGCGGUGAAAUGCAUAGAUAUCACGCAGAACACCGAUUGCGAAGGCAGCAUACCGGCGCUCAACUGACGCUGAGGCACGAAAGCGUGGGGAGCGAACAGGAUUAGAUACCCGUGUAGUC